This 253-nucleotide ribosomal RNA is filed under the name uncultured bacterium. RNAcentral's name for it is "partial 16S ribosomal RNA". It matches the Rfam family "Bacterial small subunit ribosomal RNA", at positions 524 to 776 of the family's 1533-position model. The record is from RNAcentral.
UACAGAGGGUGCGAGCGUUGUUCGGAAUCACUGGGCAUAAAGGGCGCGUAGGCGGCUUUUCAAGUCAGGGGUGAAAUCCGGCAGCUCAACUGUCGAAGUGCCCUUGAUACUGAUGAGCUCGAGGGAGGUAGGGGUGUGUGGAACUUCCGGUGGAGCGGUGAAAUGCGUUGAUAUCGGAAGGAACGCCGGUGGCGAAAGCGACGCACUGGACCUCUUCUGACGCUGAGGCGCGAAAGCUAGGGGAGCAAACGGG